RNAcentral lists this unclassified non-coding RNA (1150 nucleotides) under Leishmania donovani. RNAcentral describes it as "gene:LdHU3.27.2180(CDS-product:GNAT_acetyltransfe rase_putative)". Lineage: Eukaryota; Euglenozoa; Kinetoplastea; Trypanosomatida; Trypanosomatidae. The record is from RNAcentral.
CGAUCUGUUUUCUUGCGCGAAUUCGGUGUGCCGCGCACACGCCCUUACAUGCAGAUACAGUGCAGCUUUCACGCCGGUGUGCUACGCGUAUCAUCAAGGAGACAUGCCCGCACGUAAGCAAGAGUCGGAAGCGGUCAAGGCACUCUUCCACUACCCGUGCCACAGUUUCAUUGUGCGGUCUGCUCUGGAAGGGCACAUGGGACAGGUGACGGUUCGUGGCAGCAGCGCCGCGGCAACGCUGAGAGCCCGCAUCACCGUCGGCGUGUUCACUGUCCUCGCCGGUGCCCCCGACGCGGAACUUGUCAGCGGCAUCACAACCUCCCUUGUCGUUCCCGUCCAGCCUGAAUGGAUUCCGCUCAUUGAAGCGCAUUCGCCUGCCCUGAAGCCUUAUAUUCGCUACCCCAUGGUCACCGCGACAGGGUCAUUCGACGUGAGGCGUCUGCAACAGUAUGCGGCGGCGUGCCCUGCCGCCUACGUCAUCGAGCCCAUCACGGAGGCGCUAGCGGAGCGCACGCGGAAGAUGAAGUGGUCCUUCGACCUCUGCGGCAACUUCCGCGACGCCGCCGACUCCGCGGCGCGGGGAAUCGGCUUCGUCGCUCUGGAGAGGGCAACCGGCAACAUUGCAGCCGGUGCGUCCAGCUUUGCCAUCUGCGACGGAGGUGUUGAGGUGGAGGUGGACACGGCGGAAUCACAUCAACGUCGCGGCUUGGCGCUGGCGUGCUCUGCUCGGCUCAUCUUAGAGUGCCUGAAGCGUGGCCUAUAUCCAAACUGGGAUGCGCACGUGCCGCACUCGGCGCACCUGGCAGAGAAGCUCGGCUACACGCGGGGCACACCGUACAAGGCCUACGUUGAGGAGCUCCCAACAUGAAGAUUCACUCUCCCAUUGGCGCGUCUUUGCGUGCUGCGGGUAGGCCCUGCACUGCUCACCGCUUGUACGGCCCUGACUACCUUACGCAUGUGCCCCGGGAAAAGGCUGGAGGGGGGAAGUGGGCUAUCUGAGAACAGCAGCGGCCGCGGCGGCCGCUCACGUGCGGUGCCUUCGUCCCUUGUCACGUUUCCUUUUCUCCCGUUCUCUCCACAUCAUUCCUGCUCCCUUCGUGCGAGCUUGCGGUCUUGUGCGCUCAAACGAAACGGGCAUUCGCGAAUAAAG